RNAcentral lists this ribosomal RNA (447 nucleotides) under uncultured bacterium. RNAcentral's name for it is "bacterial SSU rRNA". It matches the Rfam family "Bacterial small subunit ribosomal RNA", at positions 28 to 457 of the family's 1533-position model. The record is from RNAcentral.
GAUGAACGCUGGCGGCGUGCUUAACACAUGCAAGUCGAGCGAAGCGCUUAAGUUCGAUUCUUCGGAUGAAGACUUUUGUGACUGAGCGGCGGACGGGUGAGUAACGCGUGGGUAACCUGCCUCAUACAGGGGGAUAACAGUUAGAAAUGGCUGCUAAUACCGCAUAAGACCACAGUACUGCAUGGUACAGUGGUAAAAACUCCGGUGGUAUGAGAUGGACCCGCGUCUGAUUAGGUAGUUGGUGAGGUAACGGCCCACCAAGCCGACGAUCAGUAGCCGACCUGAGAGGGUGACCGGCCACAUUGGGACUGAGACACGGCCCAGACUCCUACGGGAGGCAGCAGUGGGGAAUAUUGCACAAUGGGCGAAAGCCUGAUGCAGCGACGCCGCGUGAAGGAUGAAGUAUUUCGGUAUGUAAACUUCUAUCAGCAGGGAAGAAAAUGACGG